CCUCAACCGUCUACACGAGUUACAUUUUAGUCCCUAUCUACGAAGCAGAGCGUUUUUUAAAACAAUACAGCAACAAAGUUGGGCAUAAAAAUGCGCCUUUUGGUAGGUCUGAAAUCAAAAUGCAACUCAUAUGAAAAGUUAGGGACCACCUAUUAAUUUUAAUUUUAGCUAACUAUAAAAUGUAAUUCUAAUAUAGUACUAAAAAUUACCUGGAUCGUCCACUUCGAAAGAGGUGUUAGAGGCUUGACCAAAGAAAGGAUACGAGGGUAUUUUCAGUUGGAACGAGGGAUCCGAAGAAGAGGAGGAGGUGUGCAUUGGUGUCCCCAUUGUUGGCUGAAGACAAGAAAAUUUACCGUUGGUUGAUCUCUCUUUGAGAUGACAAGACAAGAAAGCCUUGAUAUAUAUAUAAUUUGGAGGGGCUAGGGGAUUAUAUGCAUCGAUUUGAGGUGGGGGUUGGGGGGCCA
This 464-nucleotide long non-coding RNA is filed under the name Olea europaea subsp. europaea. The record is from RNAcentral. Lineage: Eukaryota; Viridiplantae; Streptophyta; Magnoliopsida; Lamiales; Oleaceae.